RNAcentral lists this ribosomal RNA (425 nucleotides) under uncultured bacterium. Its description in RNAcentral is "partial 16S ribosomal RNA". It matches the Rfam family "Bacterial small subunit ribosomal RNA", at positions 355 to 773 of the family's 1533-position model. The record is from RNAcentral.
UAGGGAAUCUUCCACAAUGGACGCAAGUCUGAUGGAGCAACGCCGCGUGAGUGAAGAAGGUUUUCGGACCGUAAAGCUCUGUUGUUGGUGAAGAAGGAUAGAGGUAGUAACUGGCCUUUAUUUGACGGUAAUCAACCAGAAAGUCACGGCUAACUACGUGCCAGCAGCCGCGGUAAUCGUAGGUGGCAAGCGUUGUCCGGAUUUAUUGGGCGUAAAGCGAGCGAGGCGGAAGAAUAAGUCUGAUGUGAAAGCCCUCGGCUUAACCGAGGAAUUGCAUCGGAAACUGUUUUUCUUGAGUGCAGAAGAGGAGAGUAGAACUCCAUGUGUAGCGGUGGAAUGCGUAGAUAUAUGGAAGAAUACCAGUGGCGAAGGCGGCUCUCUGGUCUGCAACUGACGCUGAGGCUCGAAAAGCAUGGGUAGCGAAC